GACGAACGCUGGCGGCGUGCUUAACACAUGCAAGUCGAACGGAAAGGCCCUGCUUUUGUGGGGUGCUCGAGUGGCGAACGGGUGAGUAACACGUGAGUAACCUGCCCUUGACUUUGGGAUAACUUCAGGAAACUGGGGCUAAUACCGGAUAGGAGCUCCUGCUGCAUAGUGGGGGUUGGAAAGUUUCGGCGGUUGGGGAUGGACUCGCGGCUUAUCAGCUUGUUGGUGGGGUAGUGGCUUACCAAGGCUUUGACGGGUAGCCGGCCUGAGAGGGUGACCGGCCACAUUGGGACUGCGGUACGGCCCAGACUCCUACGGGAGGCAGCAGUGGGGAAUAUUGCACAAUGGGCGGAAGCCUGAUGCAGCAACGCCGCGUGCGGGAUGACGGCCUUCGGGUUGUAAACCGCUUUCGCCUGUGACGAAGCGUGAGUGACGGUAAUGGGUAAAGAAGCACCGGCUAACUACGUG
RNAcentral lists this ribosomal RNA (468 nucleotides) under uncultured bacterium. Its description in RNAcentral is "partial 16S ribosomal RNA". It matches the Rfam family "Bacterial small subunit ribosomal RNA", at positions 28 to 507 of the family's 1533-position model. The record is from RNAcentral.